RNAcentral lists this transfer RNA (76 nucleotides) under Vibrio phage VPT02. RNAcentral describes it as "tRNA-Asn". It matches the Rfam family "tRNA". Rfam says of the family: Transfer RNA (tRNA) molecules are approximately 80 nucleotides in length. Their secondary structure includes four short double-helical elements and three loops (D, anti-codon, and T loops). Lineage: Duplodnaviria; Heunggongvirae; Uroviricota; Caudoviricetes; Demerecviridae. RNAcentral also lists the same sequence under 2 other names. The record is from RNAcentral.
GGGGAAUUAACUCAGCGGUCAGAGUGGCUGCCUGUUAAGCAGCUGGUCGUAGGUUCAAAUCCUACAUUCCCCGCCA